Molecule: ribosomal RNA, 491 nt
Filed under: uncultured bacterium
Lineage: Bacteria
Description: bacterial SSU rRNA
Rfam family: Bacterial small subunit ribosomal RNA
Source: RNAcentral
AGAGUUUGAUCCUGGCUUAGGACGAACGCUGGCGGCGUGCUUAACACAUGCAAGUCGAGCGGAGAAUAUAGCAAUAUAUUCUUAGCGGCGGACGGGUGAGCAACGCGUGGGCAAUCUGCCUCAUACAGGGGGAUAACACUGGGAAACUAGUGCUAAUACCGCAUAAAAUAGUGAAGUGGCAUCACUUUACUAUCAAAGGAGCAAUCCGGUGUGAGAUGAGCCCGCGUCCGAUUAGCUAGUUGGAGGGUAACGGCCCACCAAGGCGACGAUCGGUAGCCGAACUGAGAGGUUGAUCGGCCACAUUGGGACUGAGACACGGCCCAGACUCCUACGGGAGGCAGCAGUGGGGAAUAUUGCGCAAAUGGGGGAAACCCUGACGCAGCAACGCCGCGUGAAGGAUGAAGGUUUUCGGAUUGUAAACUCCUUUUAUAAGGGAAGAUAAUGACGGUACCUUAUGAAUAAGCACCGGCUAACUCCGUGCCAGCCGCCGC